UCCUGGGUGGUGUAAAUAGUUAACAUACUUGACUGCUAACCAAAAGGUUGGAGGUCUGAGCCCACCCACAGGAG
Molecule: transfer RNA, 74 nt
Filed under: Loxodonta africana (African savanna elephant)
Lineage: Eukaryota; Metazoa; Chordata; Mammalia; Proboscidea; Elephantidae
Rfam family: tRNA
About the family: Transfer RNA (tRNA) molecules are approximately 80 nucleotides in length. Their secondary structure includes four short double-helical elements and three loops (D, anti-codon, and T loops). Further hydrogen bonds mediate the characteristic L-shaped molecular structure. tRNAs have two regions of fundamental functional importance: the anti-codon, which is responsible for specific mRNA codon recognition, and the 3' end, to which the tRNAs corresponding amino acid is attached (by aminoacyl-tRNA synthetases). tRNAs cope with the degeneracy of the genetic code in two manners: having more than one tRNA (with a specific anti-codon) for a particular amino acid; and 'wobble' base-pairing, i.e. permitting non-standard base-pairing at the 3rd anti-codon position.
Source: Rfam by way of RNAcentral